AGGCACCAUUGUCAUUCAUUGGAAAGUUUCUGUAGAGUUCCCCAUGUCUGUUAAUGUUGACUAGUGAGUAGUCUCUGCCUCUAGUUUGUCUCCAUGUCAUUCUAUGCGUUUCCUCUUUCUUUUACCUACUCAAAUCCAGUGUAGUGCAGUCUUAGACAUGAUUUCCUUUCUUUUUUUACCUUAUGAAAUGACAAAUCCAUCUGCA
This 205-nucleotide long non-coding RNA is filed under the name Mytilus galloprovincialis (Mediterranean mussel). Lineage: Eukaryota; Metazoa; Mollusca; Bivalvia; Mytilida; Mytilidae. The record is from RNAcentral.